AAAUGAAUUGACGGGGGCCCGCACAAGCGGAGGAACAUGUGGUUUAAUUCGAUGAUACGCGAGGAACCUUACCUGGGCUUAAAUGUAGAGUGCAUGUCGUGGAAACACGCUUCCCUUCGGGGCUCUUUACAAGGUGCUGCAUGGUUGUCGUCAGCUCGUGCCGUGAGGUGUCGGGUUAAGUCCCAUAACGAGCGCAACCCUUACCGUUAGUUGCCAGCGGGUCAAGCCGGGGACUCUAGCGGGACUGCCACCGUAAGGUGAGAGGAAGGUGGGGAUGACGUCAAAUCAGCACGGCCCUUAUGUCCAGGGCUACACACGUGUUACAAUGGCCGGUACAGAGGGCAGCUACCUGGUGACAGGGUGCCAAUCCCGAAAGCCGGUCUCAGUUCGGAUCGAAGUCUGCAACCCGACUUCGUGAAGCUGGAUUCGCUAGUAAUCGCGCAUCAGCCAUGGCGCGGUGAAUACGUUCCCGGGCCUUGUACACACCGCCCGU
This 493-nucleotide ribosomal RNA is filed under the name uncultured bacterium. RNAcentral's name for it is "bacterial SSU rRNA". It matches the Rfam family "Bacterial small subunit ribosomal RNA", at positions 903 to 1397 of the family's 1533-position model. The record is from RNAcentral.